This 253-nucleotide ribosomal RNA is filed under the name uncultured bacterium. RNAcentral's name for it is "partial 16S ribosomal RNA". It matches the Rfam family "Bacterial small subunit ribosomal RNA", at positions 524 to 776 of the family's 1533-position model. The record is from RNAcentral.
UACGUAGGAUCCGAGCGUUGUCCGGAUUUACUGGGCGUAAAGGGUGCGCAGGCGGAAUGGUAAGUCAGAGGUGAAAUCUCGCCGCUCAACGGCGAAACUGCCUUUGAUACUAUCAUUCUUGAAUCCGGUAGAGAUCUGUGGAAUUCCGAGUGUAGCAGUGAAAUGUGUAGAUAUUCGGAAGAACACCAGUGGCGAAGGCAGCAGAUUGGGCCGGUAUUGACGCUCAGGCACGAAAGCAUGGGGAUCAAACAGG